Dromiciops gliroides (monito del monte) is the source of this 425-nucleotide long non-coding RNA. RefSeq lists it as uncharacterized. The transcript has 3 exons. The record is from RefSeq and is a predicted model, not a curated record. Lineage: Eukaryota; Metazoa; Chordata; Mammalia; Microbiotheria; Microbiotheriidae.
UGGAGGACCUUGCAGAGAAUCUGCUGGCUGCUAAUCCAGAGCUUCAAGGAGCUUACUUUCUAAUAGAGGAAGAUCACCCAUAAAGUGGACCUGGAGAUCCGGAAAGAAGGGAAGAUUGGCAAAGAUGACAAAAAUGGAAAAUCAAGUUUCUUGGAAGGACUGUGAAAGGACAUUGUUAGUGAAGCUGAGAAGUUGUUCAAACAUUCUGGAAAACAAUUUGGAACUAUACCCAACUAAACUGUCCAUAUCUUUUGACCCUGCAAUACCAUGACUAGAGCUAAAAUCCAAAAAGAGCAGAACAGAAGGAAAGGAUGGAUGUGUACAAAAACAUCUAUAGUAUCACUCUUUAGCAAAGAAUUAGAAAUCAAUGGGGUAUCUUUCAAUUGGAGAAUGAUUAAACACAUUAUGGCAUGUUGAUAAUACCA